AUGGCUACACCCUAUUGAACUGAAAAUGGGCAGAGGUGUUGCUUUGACCAAUGAAACAUGAGUGGAAAUGAGUCCAGAUUUGCCCUAGCUAGGAUCUUCUGGAUUAUUUGGUCAAACUGAGGAGUCGGAGAUGAUCCUUUCUGUACCUGCGGGGAUGGCCAUAGCCUAUCGGGGUCUCCCCCUGCAGCCCCUCGGUCUCACCUGCCCACUUGCCGUUUCUCAGGUGCUUACCGCUGGAAUUUUCCAAGCUUAAUUUCUUUUAUCCUGCAUCUCUACAUUCUCCCAUCCAAACCCUCCUUGCUUUGUCCAAUUCUACCCUCAACCAGGUUUCAGACAAUGUGGGGUAGAAGGAUGGGGUUGUCUGGGUUACUACUAACUUUAAAAGAACCACCUCAAACAUAACCUGGUCCUUUUGUGCCAUAAAUAUCAAAUAAAGGCAUUCAGAAGUAGAA
Suricata suricatta (meerkat) is the source of this 452-nucleotide long non-coding RNA. RefSeq lists it as uncharacterized. The transcript has 3 exons. NCBI's taxonomy places the organism in Eukaryota, Metazoa, Chordata, Mammalia, Carnivora, Herpestidae. The record is from RefSeq and is a predicted model, not a curated record.